Molecule: ribosomal RNA, 1418 nt
Filed under: Klebsiella pneumoniae
Lineage: Bacteria; Pseudomonadati; Pseudomonadota; Gammaproteobacteria; Enterobacterales; Enterobacteriaceae
Description: bacterial SSU rRNA
Rfam family: Bacterial small subunit ribosomal RNA
Source: RNAcentral
AACAUGCAAGUCGAGCGGUAGCACAGAGAGCUUGCUCUCGGGUGACGAGCGGCGGASGGGUGAGUAAUGUCUGGGAAACUGCCUGAUGGAGGGGGAUAACUACUGGAAACGGUAGCUAAUACCGCAUAACGUCGCAAGACCAAAGUGGGGGACCUUCGGGCCUCAUGCCAUCAGAUGUGCCCAGAUGGGAUUAGCUAGUAGGUGGGGUAACGGCUCACCUAGGCGACGAUCCCUAGCUGGUCUGAGAGGAUGACCAGCCACACUGGAACUGAGACACGGUCCAGACUCCUACGGGAGGCAGCAGUGGGGAAUAUUGCACAAUGGGCGCAAGCCUGAUGCAGCCAUGCCGCGUGUGUGAAGAAGGCCUUCGGGUUGUAAAGCACUUUCAGCGGGGAGGAAGGCGUURAGGUUAAUAACCUUGUCGAUUGACGUUACCCGCAGAAGAAGCACCGGCUAACUCCGUGCCAGCAGCCGCGGUAAUACGGAGGGUGCAAGCGUUAAUCGGAAUUACUGGGCGUAAAGCGCACGCACGGCGGUCUGUCAAGUCGGAUGUGAAAUCCCCGGGCUCAACCUGGGAACUGCAUUCGAAACUGGCAGGCUAGAGUCUUGUAGAGGGGGGUAGAAUUCCAGGUGUAGCGGUGAAAUGCGUAGAGAUCUGGAGGAAUACCGGUGGCGAAGGCGGCCCCCUGGACAAAGACUGACGCUCAGGUGCGAAAGCGUGGGGAGCAAACAGGAUUAGAUACCCUGGUAGUCCACGCCGUAAACGAUGUCGAUUUGGAGGUUGUGCCCUUGAGGCGUGGCUUCCGGAGCUAACGCGUUAAAUCGACCGCCUGGGGAGUACGGCCGCAAGGUUAAAACUCAAAUGAAUUGACGGGGGCCCGCACAAGCGGUGGAGCAUGUGGUUUAAUUCGAUGCAACGCGAAGAACCUUACCUGGUCUUGACAUCCACAGAACUUUCCAGAGAUGGAUUGGUGCCUUCGGGAACUGUGAGACAGGUGCUGCAUGGCUGUCGUCAGCUCGUGUUGUGAAAUGUUGGGUUAAGUCCCGCAACGAGCGCAACCCUUAUCCUUUGUUGCCAGCGGUUAGGCCGGGAACUCAAAGGAGACUGCCAGUGAUAAACUGGAGGAAGGUGGGGAUGACGUCAAGUCAUCAUGGCCCUUACGACCAGGGCUACACACGUGCUACAAUGGCAUAUACAAAGAGAAGCGACCUCGCGAGAGCAAGCGGACCUCAUAAAGUAUGUCGUAGUCCGGAUUGGAGUCUGCAACUCGACUCCAUGAAGUCGGAAUCGCUAGUAAUCGUAGAUCAGAAUGCUACGGUGAAUACGUUCCCGGGCCUUGUACACACCGCCCGUCACACCAUGGGAGUGGGUUGCAAAAGAAGUAGGUAGCUUAACCUUCGGGAGGGCGCUUACCACU